This is a long non-coding RNA of Drosophila willistoni, 708 nucleotides long. RefSeq lists it as uncharacterized. The record is from RefSeq and is a predicted model, not a curated record. The transcript has 2 exons. Lineage: Eukaryota; Metazoa; Arthropoda; Insecta; Diptera; Drosophilidae.
CUAUUCACUUGUGAACAUCAAAUUGUCGUUCUCACACUGAAGAACAAUAUUCCAACCUUAGCUACAAUGGGGUGUCAUAAUUCUUUGAAGCACGAAGACUACUGUUGACACUUGAAGAUAUGUGAAGAUUAAUCAGAUCCAAGGGAUCAGACGCAAUAGAGUACUGAACUGGGAACGACUGAAAGGACUAUUGGAAACAUACUUUGACGUCAUCCCCAAUGGAUCUAAAUGUCGUCCUUUUAACUCGAACUGUUUUUUUUUUUAGAAAGAAACGAAAAGAAACUGUUUGGAUUUAAAACAAGACACUUUGGAACGGAAAUACAAGGUUCUAUUUUCAGAUGAUUGGACUAACAAAAAGAAGCUUUGCUCGGCCGUUUUUCUCUGAAUCUCCACUUGGUCAAUUGGGAAAAACGCCAAUAAUUGCUAGACCCGCAAUACCAUUUAUACAAUCACGGAGAGGCGUGCAGAUAACACCACGCAAAUUGCUAAUUGGGAUUCAGAUCCGACAGGCUUCACCUUUCCAGAGAAAACAGUAGAAUCACGAAAUUUAAGAACUACAUCGAUGGGUCCCUAGGAGAAUUCCACUGCCGAUGCAAGUGACGUGCCUGCUUCAGGUGUCAAUUGUUCUAAGGGCAACGAUGAUAAUAUUGAUAUUUUAAUUUCCAUGCAUAUCAAUAUGAAAUAACUAAAUGUUCUUGUUGCAAUCUA